Molecule: non-coding RNA, 45 nt
Organism: Schistosoma curassoni
Lineage: Eukaryota; Metazoa; Platyhelminthes; Trematoda; Strigeidida; Schistosomatidae
Source: Rfam
AUUCAGCUGAUCAGUCACAAAUAGGACGAAAUGCGUGUGCUGGAU